RNAcentral lists this ribosomal RNA (492 nucleotides) under uncultured bacterium. RNAcentral describes it as "partial 16S ribosomal RNA". It matches the Rfam family "Bacterial small subunit ribosomal RNA", at positions 29 to 507 of the family's 1533-position model. The record is from RNAcentral.
AUUGAACGCUGGCGGCAUGCUUUACACAUGCAAGUCGAACGGUAACAGGCCUUCGGGUGCUGACGAGUGGCGAACGGGUGAGUAAUGCAUCGGAACGUACCCAGAGGUGGGGGAUAACGCAGCGAAAGCUGUGCUAAUACCGCAUGUGAUCUGAGGAUGAAAGCGGGGGACCGCGCAGCAAUGUUUGGCCUCGCGCCUUUGGAGCGGCCGAUGUCGGAUUAGCUAGUUGGUGGGGUAAAGGCCUACCAAGGCGACGAUCCGUAGCUGGUCUGAGAGGACGACCAGCCACACGGGGACUGAGACACGGCCCAGACUCCUACGGGAGGCAGCAGUGGGGAAUUUUGGACAAUGGGCGCAAGCCUGAUCCAGCAAUGCCGCGUGCGGGAAGAAGGCCUUCGGGUUGUAAACCGCUUUUGGCAGGAACGAAACGGUGUCCGCUAAUACCGGGCGCUAAUGACGGUACCUGCAGAAUAAGCACCGGCUAACUACGUG